AACACAUGCAAGUCGAGGGCGAGCGGAAGUUAGCUGCAACUUGCCGGCGACCGGCGCACGGGUGAGUAACGCGUAUCCAACCUUCCCCUUAGUAGGGCAUAGCCCGUAGAAAUGCGGAUUAAUACCCUAUGUUAUUCGUCGAGGACAUCUGAAGUGAAUCAAAGGUUUACCGCUAAGGGAUGGGGAUGCGUCUGAUUAGGCAGCAGGCGGGGUAACGGCCCACCUGGCCGACGAUCGAGUAGGGGUUCUGAGACGGAAGGUCCCCCACAUUGGAACUGAGACACGGUCCAAACUCCUACGGGAGGCAGCAGUGAGGAAUAUUGGUCAAUGGUCGAGAGACUGAACCAGCCAAGUAGCGUGCAGGAUGACGGCCCUAUGGGUUGUAAACUGCUUUUAUGCGGGGAUAAAGUGACGUACGUGUUACGUUUUUGUAGGUACCGCAUGAAUAAGGACCGGCUAAUUCCGUGCCAGCAGCAGC
Molecule: ribosomal RNA, 478 nt
Filed under: uncultured bacterium
Lineage: Bacteria
Description: bacterial SSU rRNA
Rfam family: Bacterial small subunit ribosomal RNA
Source: RNAcentral